ACUCUGCUCCCCAGCCUAAGCCAUAAUUAAAGGGGACAUUGAGACAUAUUGCUGUGCCCAGCACCUAUGUGAUGUGACUCUCCUUUCCUGCCCAGGCUAUGCCUAAAAGAAAUUGUUACAUAUCAUGGAGCCAAGAUCCCAGUUGAUUUAACUCUCCUGCUGGGCCCUGCUCACAUGGGAAAUAUUGGCAUAUUCCUUGCCUAGCACUCAGAAGGCGUUGUAACAUCUCACUAAGCCCAGCACUCAGGCGAUGUGGCUUUCCUGCUAUGGCACUGCACACAAGAAGAAUGUUGACAUAUUCCUGGCCCAGAAUUCAGGUGGAGAUGGAGCUCUCAUGCACGGAUCCUGUCCGAUGUUAAGACUGUGUCUCGUGUAUUUGGAUGCAACUCACAAGAGGUGUUGACUCUCAGACCUAAAGCUGGGAAAUAUGUAGAAUUGUGAAAUUUAUUCCUGGUCCUUCCCGCAGGUGUGAUUGUGGCGUAUAUGUUCACACAGCACUUAAUUUAUUUUACAAUUUGUUUGAACUCAGCCAACUGUUGGGACUGUGACAUAUACCUGGACCAAGUUCCUAGGUGAUGUAACUCUCCAGCCUGGGCCUUACCACAGGGUACAUUGUGACAUAUCUUUGGACUUAUCACCUAUGUGAUGUGACUCUACUGACUUGCCUUGUCUUGGCCUCCAUUGGGGAUUGUGGCAUAUUUCUGUGCCCAGUACCUAAGUUAUGUGACUCUUCUUUCCUGCUUGUGCAUUUAGAAGGGAUUGUGACAUAUUGCUGGGCCAAGAACCUAGGUGAUGUGACUCUCCUGCCUUGGCCCUGCCUUCAGGAAAAAUUGUGAUGUGACUCUGGGUUUAUUACCUAGAUGAUGUGACUCUUGUGUUCUGCAUGGGCAAGCCCAAAGGGGUCAUUGUGGCAUAUCUCUGGGCACAUCAAAGAAGUGGUGUAAUUUUUCUCUCAUUCCAGGACUCUAGUCUCAGUAGGGAUUGUGACAUAUCACUGGGCCCAUAACCUAUGUCAUGUGAUUCUAGUAUCCUGCUUGGGCCCUGCUUACAGGAAAGAUUGUGACAUUUGGCUGGGCCCAUCACCUAGUUAAUGUGACUCUCCUUUUCUUCCUGUGCCCUGCCCUCAGUGGAGAUUGUGACAAAUUUCUGGGCCAAUCAGCUGUGCAAUAUGACUCUGCUCUUUCCUGGGCCCUGCUAUCGGGGAGCAUUGUGACAUAUUGCCAGGCUCAGCACCUAGGUAAUGUGACUCUUCUUGCUGCCUGGGCCCUACUUACAGAAGGGAUUUUGAUGUAUUGCUGAACCAAGAAUUCAGAUGAUGUGACUCUCCUGCCUGUGCGCUGUCUACAGUGGGCAUUGUGACAUAUCAUUGGUGAUGUGACUCUCCUGCCUUGUUCCUGCCCACAGGUGAAAUUGUGGCAUAUACCUGGGUCCAGAUCACAGGCACAAUGAUGACUCUCUUACCUGGACACAGCCAGUGGGAAAUAUUUUGACUUUUGUAGCCAGGCUUAGGGCCACAGGUGGUUUGGUGACUCUCAAACCAUGAUUCAGCAGACCUGUGAGGCUGUGAGUUCCCUAUCAGAACACAAUCUGCAGGUUGUAUUGUGCCAUAUACCUGGGACCAAAUUACAAGCACAAUGAUGAAUCUUUUACCUGGAGUCAAGACAUGGGCAGGAUGAUGGAACUUAUCACUGGACCUUUCCACAGUGUUAUUGUGACAUAUGCCUUUGCCCAACAUGUGGUGAUUUGACUCCCCAGACUGGGUCCAGUUCACAAAUAAAAUUGUGCCGUAUACUUGGCCAAGAACCUAA
RNAcentral lists this long non-coding RNA (1808 nucleotides) under Homo sapiens (human). RNAcentral describes it as "HSALNT0341199". Lineage: Eukaryota; Metazoa; Chordata; Mammalia; Primates; Hominidae. The record is from RNAcentral.